ACGAACGCUGGCGGCGUGCCUAAUACAUGCAAGUCGAGCGGAAUGAAGAAGAAGCUUGCUUCUUCUGAUUUUAGCGGCGGACGGGUGAGUAACACGUGGGCAACCUGCCCUGUAGACUGGGAUAACAUCGAGAAAUCGGUGCUAAUACCGGAUAACUGUUGGAACUGCAUAGUUCUAACUUAAAAGAUGGCUCCGGCUAUCACUAUAGGAUGGGCCCGCGGCGCAUUAGCUAGUUGGUAAGGUAAUGGCUUACCAAGGCGACGAUGCGUAGCCGACCUGAGAGGGUGAUCGGCCACACUGGGACUGAGACACGGCCCAGACUCCUACGGGAGGCAGCAGUAGGGAAUCUUCCGCAAUGGACGAAAGUCUGACGGAGCAACGCCGCGUGAGUGAUGAAGGUUUUCGGAUCGUAAAGCUCUGUUGUUAGGAAAGAACAAGUGCCGUUCGAAUAGGGCGGCACCUUGACGGUACCUAACCAGAAAGCCACGGCUAACUACGUG
This 500-nucleotide ribosomal RNA is filed under the name uncultured bacterium. Its description in RNAcentral is "bacterial SSU rRNA". It matches the Rfam family "Bacterial small subunit ribosomal RNA", at positions 29 to 507 of the family's 1533-position model. The record is from RNAcentral.